This 433-nucleotide ribosomal RNA is filed under the name uncultured bacterium. Its description in RNAcentral is "partial 16S ribosomal RNA". It matches the Rfam family "Bacterial small subunit ribosomal RNA", at positions 29 to 507 of the family's 1533-position model. The record is from RNAcentral.
AACGAACGCUGGCGGCAUGCCUAACACAUGCAAGUCGAACGAGACCUUCGGGUCUAGUGGCGCACGGGUGCGUAACGCGUGGGAACCUGCCUUUAGGUUCGGAAUAACUCAGAGAAAUUUGAGCUAAUACCGGAUGAUGUCUUCGGACCAAAGAUUUAUCGCCUUUAGAUGGGCCCGCGUUGGAUUAGCUGGUUGGGGGGGUAAAGGCCUACCAAGGCGACGAUCCAUAGCUGGUCUGAGAGGAUGAUCAGCCACACUGGGACUGAGACACGGCCCAGACUCCUACGGGAGGCAGCAGUGGGGAAUAUUGGACAAUGGGCGAAAGCCUGAUCCAGCAAUGCCGCGUGAGUGAUGAAGGCCUUAGUGUUGUAAAGCUCUUUUACCCGAGAUGAUAAUGACAGUAGCGGGAGAAUAAGCUCCGGCUAACUCCGUG